This 254-nucleotide ribosomal RNA is filed under the name uncultured bacterium. Its description in RNAcentral is "partial 16S ribosomal RNA". It matches the Rfam family "Bacterial small subunit ribosomal RNA", at positions 524 to 776 of the family's 1533-position model. The record is from RNAcentral.
UACGGAAGGUGCAAGCGUUGUCCGGAUUGACUGGGUGUAAAGGGCGUGUAGGCGGAGGAGUAUGUCGGGAGUGAAAUCGUGCGGCUUAACCGUAUCAAUUGCUUCCGAAACUAUUCCCCUUGAGUGCAAGAGAGGCAGAUAGAAUUCCUGGUGUAGCGGUGGAAUGCGUAGAGAUCAGGAAGAAUACCGGAUGCGAAGGCGGUCUGCUGGCUUGUAACUGACGCUGAGGCGCGAAAGUGCGGGGAGCAAACAGG